CAGUAGCCACGGUAAUACGAAGGGGGCUAGCGUUGUUCGGAAUUACUGGGCGUAAAGCGUACGUAGGCGGAUUGUUAAGUGAGGGGUGAAAUCCCGAGGCUCAACCUCGGAACUGCCUUUCAUACUGGCAAUCUUGAGUUCGGGAGAGGUGAGUGGAACUCCUAGUGUAGAGGUGAAAUUCGUAGAUAUUAGGAAGAACACCAGUGGCGAAGGCGGCUCACUGGCCCGAAACUGACGCUGAGGAGCGAAAGCGUGGGGAGCGACCAGGAUUAGAUACCCCUGUAGUCCCUGUCUCUUAUAC
RNAcentral lists this ribosomal RNA (301 nucleotides) under uncultured bacterium. Its description in RNAcentral is "partial 16S ribosomal RNA". It matches the Rfam family "Bacterial small subunit ribosomal RNA", at positions 509 to 807 of the family's 1533-position model. The record is from RNAcentral.